GAUGAACGCUGGCGGCGUGCUUAACACAUGCAAGUCGAACGAAGCACUUAAGAUUGAUUCUUCGGAUGACGUCUUUUGUGCCUUAGUGGCGGACGGGUGAGUAACGCGUGGGUAACCUGCCUCACACAGGGGGAUAACAGUUAGAAAUGACUGCUAAUACCGCAUAACCCGAUAGGAUCGCAUGAUCCAGACGGAAAAGAUUUAUCGGUGUGGGAUGGACGCGCGUCUGAUUAGCUAGUUGGUGAGGUAACGGCCCACCAAGGCGACGAUCAGUAGCCGGCCUGAGAGGGUGAACGGCCACAUUGGGACUGAGACACGGACCAAACUCCUACGGGAGGCAGCAGUGGGGAAUAUUGCACAAUGGGGGAAACCCUGAUGCAGCGACGCCGCGUGAGUGAAGAAGUAUUUCGGUAUGUAAAGCUCUAUCAGCAGGGAAGAAAAUGACGGUACCUGACUAAGAAGCCCCGGCUAACUACGUG
Molecule: ribosomal RNA, 479 nt
Filed under: uncultured bacterium
Lineage: Bacteria
Description: partial 16S ribosomal RNA
Rfam family: Bacterial small subunit ribosomal RNA
Source: RNAcentral